Non-coding RNA from Mastomys coucha (southern multimammate mouse), 146 nucleotides. The record is from RefSeq and is a predicted model, not a curated record. NCBI's taxonomy places the organism in Eukaryota, Metazoa, Chordata, Mammalia, Rodentia, Muridae.
GAGGGAAGCUCCAUGGUACUGUUGCCAUGGUGAUAAUGGCUGUGCCAUGUCAUUGUCAAUCCACCAACAGUCAGAGAAGAUUUGCAGUCAAGAUAUUGUUUAGCAGACAGAGCAGUUUUGGUUGGACACUAAGUACUGCUCCAAAA